AAAUAAGAAGCAAAAAAAAUUUGUGAUUAGUUUCGACCUAGUUUUUGGUAUAAAAUACCCUUAUUUU
RNAcentral lists this transfer RNA (67 nucleotides) under Phaenopsectra flavipes. Its description in RNAcentral is "tRNA-Arg". Lineage: Eukaryota; Metazoa; Arthropoda; Insecta; Diptera; Chironomidae. The record is from RNAcentral.